Molecule: ribosomal RNA, 656 nt
Filed under: Lactiplantibacillus plantarum
Lineage: Bacteria; Bacillati; Bacillota; Bacilli; Lactobacillales; Lactobacillaceae
Description: bacterial SSU rRNA
Rfam family: Bacterial small subunit ribosomal RNA
Source: RNAcentral
AUGGACGAAAGUCUGAUGGAGCAACGCUGCGUGAGUGAAGAAGGGUUUCGGCUCGUAAAACUCUGUUGUUAAAGAAGAACAUAUCUGAGAGUAACUGUUCAGGUAUUGACGGUAUUUAACCAGAAAGCCACGGCUAACUACGUGCCAGCAGCCGCGGUAAUACGUAGGUGGCAAGCGUUGUCCGGAUUUAUUGGGCGUAAAGCGAGCGCAGGCGGUUUUUUAAGUCUGAUGUGAGAGCCUUCGGCUCAACCGAAGAAGUGCAUCGGAAACUGGGGAACUUGAGUGCAGAAGAGGACAGUGGAACUCCAUGUGUAGCGGUGAAAUGCGUAGAUAUAUGGAAGAACACCAGUGGCGAAGGCGGCUGUCUGGUCUGUAACUGACGCUGAGGCUCGAAAGUAUGGGUAGCAAACAGGAUUAGAUACCCUGGUAGUCCAUACCGUAAACGAUGAAUGCUAAGUGUUGGAGGGUUUCCGCCCUUCAGUGCUGCAGCUAACGCAUUAAGCAUUCCGCCUGGGGAGUACGGCCGCAAGGCUGAAACUCAAAGGAAUUGACGGGGGCCCGCACAAGCGGUGGAGCAUGUGGUUUAAUUCGAAGCUACGCGAAGAACCUUACCAGGUCUUGACAUACUAUGCAAAUCUAAGAGAUGAGACGUUGCC